CAGGCCUAACACAUGCAAGUCGAACGAUGGCCUUCGGGUCAUAGUGGCGCACGGGUGCGUAACGCGUGGGAAUCUGCCCUUGGGUUCGGAAUAACAGUUGGAAACGACUGCUAAUACCGGAUGAUGACGUAAGUCCAAAGAUUUAUCGCCCAAGGAUGAGCCCGCGUCAGAUUAGCUAGUUGGUGGGGUAAAGGCCUACCAAGGCGACGAUCUGUAGCUGGUCUGAGAGGAUGAUCAGCCACACUGGGACUGAGACACGGCCCAGACUCCUACGGGAGGCAGCAGUGGGGAAUAUUGGACAAUGGGCGAAAGCCUGAUCCAGCAAUGCCGCGUGAGUGAUGAAGGCCUUAGGGUUGUAAAGCUAUUUUACCCGGGAUGAUAAUGACAUGA
RNAcentral lists this ribosomal RNA (390 nucleotides) under uncultured bacterium. Its description in RNAcentral is "bacterial SSU rRNA". It matches the Rfam family "Bacterial small subunit ribosomal RNA", at positions 43 to 459 of the family's 1533-position model. The record is from RNAcentral.